GUAAUGGCCUANCAAGCCGAUUACCGGUGCNGGCUUUGAGAGAAGGAGCCCGGAGAUGGACANUGAGAAAAGGGUCCAGGCCCUACGGGGCGCAGCAGGCGCGAAAACUUUGCAAUGUGCGAAAGCACGACAAGGUUAAUCCGAGUGCAACAUGCUGAAUGUAGCUUUUGGUAAAUGUAAAUAGUUUAUUGAAUAAGGGGAGGGAAAGUCUGGUGUCAGCCGCCGCGGUAAUACCAGCUCCCCGAGUGGUCGGGNCGAUUAUUGGGCCUAAAGCAUCCGUAGCCGGUUCUGUAGGUCUUAUGUUAAAAUCAAUUGCUCAACAAUUGAACUGCAUGAGAUACCACAAAACUAGGAGGCGGGAGAGGUGGACGGUACUCCACGGGUAGGGGUAAAAUCCUCUGAACCGUGGAAGACCACCAGUGGCGAAGGCGGUCCACCAGAACGCGCUCGACGGUGAGGGAUGAAAGCUGGGGUAGCGAACCGGAUUAGAUACCCGGGUAGUCCCAGCUGUAAACGAUGCAAGCUAGGUGAUGCAUCAGCCACGUGUUGAUGCAGUGCCGCAGGGAAGCCGUUAAGCUUGCCGCCUGGGGAGUACGGUCGCAAGGCUGAAACUUAAAGGAAUUGGCGGGGGAGCACCACAAGGGGUGAAGCCUGCGGUUCAAUUGGAGUCAACGCCGGGAACCUUACCAGGAGAGACAGCAGAGUGAAGGUCAAGCUGAAGACUUUACCAGACAAGCUGAGAGGAGGCGCAUGGCCGUCGACAGCUCGUGCCGUGAGGCGUCCUGUUAAGUCAGGCAACGAGCGAGACCCUUGCCAUUAAUUGCUUCCAUCGAUCGAAAGGUUGGCGGAGCUAGUUAAUGGGACUGCCGUUGAUAAAACGGAGGAAGGAAGGGGCCACGGCAGGUCAGUAUGCCCCGAAACUCUUGGGCCACACGCGGGCUGCAAUGGUAGGCACAAUAGGUACCGAAUUCGAGAGAAUGAGGCAAUCCCAAAAUCCUACCCCAGUUGUGAUUGAGGGCUGCAACUCGCCCUCAUGAAUCUGGAAUCCCUAGUAACCGCGUGUCAACAUCGCGCGNUGAAUACGUCCCUGCUCCUUGCACACACCGCCCGUCGCUUCACCCGAGUUGGGUUUGGGGGANAUAGUGUCUCAU
Molecule: ribosomal RNA, 1151 nt
Filed under: uncultured crenarchaeote
Lineage: Archaea; Thermoproteati; Thermoproteota
Description: bacterial SSU rRNA
Rfam family: Archaeal small subunit ribosomal RNA
Source: RNAcentral